GGAGUUAGCCGGUGCUUCUUCUGUGAGUGAUGUCCUUCCUGCCGGUUAUUGACCCGCAGGCCUUCUUCCUCACUGAAAGUGCUUUACAACCCGAAGGCCUUCUUCACACACGCGGCAUGGCUGGAUCAGGGUUGCCCCCAUUGUCCAAUAUUCCCCACUGCUGCCUCCCGUAGGAGUCUGGGCCGUGUCUCAGUCCCAGUGUGGCUGAUCAUCCUCUCAGACCAGCUACGGAUCGUCGCCUUGGUGAGCCGUUACCUCACCAACCAGCUAAUCCGACAUAGGCUCAUCCGAUAGCGCGAGGCCCGAAGGUCCCCCGCUUUCCCCCGUAGGGCGUAUGCGGUAUUAGCCUGGGUUUCCCCAGGUUAUCCCCCACUACCGGGCAGAUUCCUAUGCAUUACUCACCCGUCCGCCGCUCGCCACCAGGGAGCAAGCUCCCCGUGCUGCCGCUCGACUUGCAUGUGUUAGGCCUGCCGCCAGCGUUCAAUCUGAGCCAGNGNACAACUCANACGNGCGGCGGUCGUCGACGACGGCGACUAGAG
RNAcentral lists this ribosomal RNA (539 nucleotides) under uncultured bacterium. RNAcentral describes it as "partial 16S ribosomal RNA". The record is from RNAcentral.